UACGUAGGGGUCUAGCGUUGUCCGGAAUUAUUGGGCGUAAAGAGCUCGUAGGCGGUUCGGCAAGUCGGAUGUGAAAUCUCCACGCUUAACGUGGAGGGGCCAUUUGAAACUGCCGUGACUCGAGUCGGUAGGGGAGUUCGGAAUUCCCGGUGUAGCGGUGAAAUGCGUAGAGAUGUGGAGGAAUACCGAUGGCGAAGGCAGCCCCCUGGGAUAACACUGACGCUCAUGCACGAAAGCGUGGGGAGCAAACAGG
Molecule: ribosomal RNA, 253 nt
Filed under: uncultured bacterium
Lineage: Bacteria
Description: partial 16S ribosomal RNA
Rfam family: Bacterial small subunit ribosomal RNA
Source: RNAcentral